GCAAGUCGAACGGAAACGAUGGGAGCUUGCUCCCAGGCGUCGAGUGGCGGACGGGUGAGUAAUACAUAGGAAUCUACCCAGUAGCGGGGGACAACCUGGUGAAAACCAGGCUAAUACCGCAUACGCCUUCCGGGGGAAAGCGGGGGAGCUUAGGGCUUCGCACUAUUGGAUGAGCCUAUGUCAGAUUAGGUUGUUGGUAGGGUAACGGCCUACCAAGGCGACGAUGUGUAGCUGGUCUGAGAGGACGAUC
Molecule: ribosomal RNA, 250 nt
Filed under: uncultured bacterium
Lineage: Bacteria
Description: partial 16S ribosomal RNA
Rfam family: Bacterial small subunit ribosomal RNA
Source: RNAcentral